Molecule: long non-coding RNA, 4271 nt
Organism: Oncorhynchus keta (chum salmon)
Lineage: Eukaryota; Metazoa; Chordata; Actinopteri; Salmoniformes; Salmonidae
Exons: 3
Source: RefSeq, a predicted model, not a curated record
CACAUGUAUGCAUUACAUGCACGUGACCAAUAGGGCCUGACCUAUAUCAAAUCAAUCAAAUGUAUUUAUAAACCCCUUUUUACAUCAGCUGAUGUCACAAAGUGCAAUACAGAAACCCAGCCUAAAACCCCAAACAGCAAGCAAUGCAGAAUUUUUAUUUGAUUUGUCACGUGUCUAAUAUAACAAGCGUAGACUUUACAGUGAAAUGCUUAGUUACAAGCCUUUAACCAACAAUGCAGUUAAGGAAAAUAAGUAAAAAAAUUAUUAUAGAGCAGCAGUAAAAUAACAGUAGCGAGGCUUUAUACAGGGGGUACCGGUACAGAGUCAAUGUGAGGAGGCUAUAUAAAGGGGGUACCGGUACAGAGUCAAUGUGAGGAGGCUAUAUAAAGGGGGUACCGGUACAGAGUCAAUGUGAGGAGGCUUUAUACAGGGGGUACCGGUACAGAGUCAAUGUGAGGAGGCUAUAUACAGGGGGUACCGGUACAGAGUCAAUGUGAGGAGGCUAUAUACAGGGGGUACCGGUACAGAGUCAAUGUGGAGGCUAUAUACAGGGGGUACCGGUAGAGUCAAUGUGAGGAGGCUAUAUACAGGGGGUACCGGUAGAGUCAAUGUGAGGAGGCUAUAUACAGGGGGUACCGGUAGAGUCAAUGUGAGGAGGCUAUAUACAGGGGGUACCGGUGCAGAGUCAAUAUGAGGAGGCUAUAUACUGGGGGUACCGGUACAGAGUCAAUGUGAGGAGGCUAUAUACAGGGGGUACCGGUAGAGUCAAUGUGAGGAGGCUAUAUACAGGGGGUACCGGUAGAGUCAAUGUGAGGAGGCUAUAUACAGGGGGUACCGGUAGAGUCAAUGUGAGGAGGCUAUAUACAGGGGGUACCGGUAGAGUCAAUGUGAGGAGGCUAUAUACAGGGGGUACCGGUACAGAGUCAAUGUGAGGAGGCUAUAUACAGGGGGUACCGGUACAGAGUCAAUGUGAGGAGGCUAUAUACAGGGGGUACCGGUACAGAGUCAAUGUGGAGGCUAUAUACAGGGGGUACCGGUAGAGUCAAUGUGAGGAGGCUAUAUACAGGGGGUACCGGUAGAGUCAAUGUGAGGAGGCUAUAUACAGGGGGUACCGGUAGAGUCAAUGUGAGGAGGCUAUAUACAGGGGGUACCGGUAGAGUCAAUGUGAGGAGGCUAUAUACAGGGGGUACCGGUACAGAGUCAAUGUGAGGAGGCUAUAUACAGGGGGUACCGGUACAGAGUCAAUGUGAGGAGGCUAUAUACAGGGGGUACCGGUACAGAGUCAAUGUGAGGAGGCUAUAUACUGGGGGUACCGGUACAGAGUCAACGUGAGGAGGCUAUAUACUGGGGGUACCGGUACAGAGUCAACGUGAGGAGGCUAUAUACUGGGGGUACCGGUACAGAGUCAACGUGAGGAGGCUAUAUACAGGGGGUACCGGUACAGAGUCAACGUGAGGAGGCUAUAUACAGGGGGUACCGGUACAGAGUCAAUGUGAGGAGGCUAUAUACAGGGGGUACCGGUACAGAGUCAAUGUGAGGAGGCUAUAUACAGGGGGUACCGGUACAGAGUCAAUGUGAGGAGGCUAUAUACAGGGGGUACCAGUACAGAGUCAAUGUGAGGAGGCUAUAUACAGGGGGUACCGGUACAGAGUCAAUGUGAGGAGGCUAUAUACAGGGGGUGCCGGUACAGAGUCAAUGUGAGGAGGCUAUAUACAGGGGGUACCGGUACAGAGUCAAUGUGAGGAGGCUAUAUACAGGGGGUACCGGUAGAGUCAAUAUGAGGAGGCUAUAUACUGGGGGUACCGGUAGAGUCAAAAUGAGGAGGCUAUAUACUGGGGGUACCGGUACAGAGUCAAUAUGAGGAGGCUAUAUACUGGGGGUACCGGUACAGAGUCAAUGUGAGGAGGCUAUAUACAGGGGGUACCGGUACAGAGUCAAUGUGAGGAGGCUAUAUACAGGGGUACCGGUACAGAGUCAAUGUGAGGAGGCUAUAUACAGGGGGUACCGGUACAGAGUCAAUAUGAGGAGGCUAUAUACUGGGGGUACCGGUAGAGUCAAAAUGAGGAGGCUAUAUACUGGGGGUACCGGUACAGAGUCAAUAUGAGGAGGCUAUAUACUGGGGGUACCGGUACAGAGUCAAUGUGAGGAGGCUAUAUACAGGGGGUACCGGUACAGAGUCAAUGUGAGGAGGCUAUAUACAGGGGUACCGGUACAGAGUCAAUGUGAGGAGGCUAUAUACAGGGGGUACCGGUACAGAGUCAAUGUGCGGGAGCACCGGUUAGUCCAGGUAAUAUGUAGGUAGAGUGACUAUGCAUAGAUAAUAAACAGAGUAGCAGCAGCGUAAAAGAGGGGGUGGGGCGAACAAUUAAAAUAGUCUGGGUAGCCAUUUGAUUAGCUGUUCAGGAGUCUUAUGGGUUGGGGGUGGAAACUUUUAAGAAGCCUUUUGUACCGAGACUUGGUGCUCCGGUACCGCUUUUUUUUUUACCUUUGUUUUACUAGGCAAGUCAGUUAAGAACACAUUCUUAUUUUCAAUGACAGCCUAGGAACAGUGGGUUAACUGCCUGUUCAGGGGCAGAACGACAGAUUUGUACCUUGUCAGCUCGGGGAUUCGAACUUGCAACCUUUCGGUUACUAGUCCAACGCUCUAACCACUAGGCUACCCUUGCCGUGAUGUAACAGAGAGGACAGUCUAUGACUAGGGAGGCUGGAGUCUGACAAUUUUUAGGGUCUUCCUCUGACACCGCCUGGUAUAGAGGUCCUAUCAUAAUCACAAAUUCCGAACACACAACAGUCAAAUGGAUGCAGAGGACGUCACAAAUAAACUCUAAUGGGGUGAAAAUGUUUACUGGUUGCUCAGGAGGAAAAAGGGGAAGUCAGAAGUGUGGAAUAAAUUUGACUAGUUGUGGAAAAUACUGGAGAUCAAAAAGGUAAAGGUAAGAGCUGUGGGUAUAUUAUGUGUGCAAAACGGGUGCUGUUAGAUUACAAUAUAAUCUUUGACCGUUUGGAACAAUGUAAACACUAAAAUUAUAAGCGUAACAGUCAGUGGUAACACUUUUUUUGUAAAGCCAUUAUUACAGCAAAGACAUAAAAAAGUCACAUUCUUUCGUGAACUCAAUUUCCAAAAUGGAGCAGCUUAUUUAUUGUUUAUGCAAAUUAUUCAAGGGUCGCUUUGUCAUUCUAUUUUAAAACUAUAAUGCUUGAUUGAUGCGUAGCCUAGUGGUUAGAGCGUUGGACUAGUAACCGGAAGGUUGUGAGUUCAAACCCCCGAGCUGACAAGGUCGUUCUGCCCCUGAACAGGCAGUUAACCCACUGUUCCUAGGCCGUCAUUGAAAAUAAGAAUAUGUUCUUAACUGACUUGCCUGGUUAAAUAAAAGGUUAAAUAAAUAAAAAAUGACUCGUAUGCGGUGUGAUGACAUGAAGGGAUACAGUGCCAUUGGAAAGAAUUCAGACCCCUUGACUUUAUCACAUUACAGCCUUACCCUAAAAUAUACCCCCCCCAUCAAUCUAUACACAAUACCCCCAAAAUGACAGUGAAAACUUGUUUUUUGCUUUGUCAUUAUGGGGUGUGAAGAUGAAUUAAAUUGAUGGGAAAAUAUUUUUUAGAUUGCUUAUUCUCCUGUCAGCCUUCUGUAAUGUAACAAAAUGUGGAAAAAGUCAAGGGGUCUGAAUACUUAUUUGGAACAGCGUGAACACUAAAUAAAUUAGAAGUAAUACCAGAGAGGCUGUUCUAAUGAAAAAAGUGUAACGCCUUCAUUACAGCAUAGCAAAUAUGAAAAACAGACUAAUUUGUGAAAUUGUUUAUCCAACAUGUGGGGUAGGGGGUAGUUAGGCUAUUAGGGGGUAGUUAGGCUAUUGAUUAUAGACCUAAUUAAGUUGGGGAUCCCUCCUCACUUUUCUUUAAAAAUUAAGGCAAGGGCUGUUGUAACGUCUCCCACCUCUGCUGCUGCCACCACCACAUUGUUCUCAACACCAAUAUGCUGGAUAACUUUGCUGUUGUGCAGCAACAUGGUCUAGGAAAAGGCAGCAGUUUAGUUUAGGAGUGCACUGAUGAGUUUCAGAACCGUGGACAGCGACCGCUAUCCAACGAUCAACCAAUCGACUAAAUAAUACAGUAUUAGUAAAAAUGUGAUCAACGCAUGUGGGUGAUCUUGUUCCUGUAGUGUAUGUAAACACCCUGGUAGAUUGAUUAAUAACCUGAACCAGAUUACAGUGAGAAGCUUUCUCUGGAGCUGACAGCUUGAUGAAAACCAGUCAUUCCAUACAAAUCAAUU